AGUGAACGCUGGCGGUAGGCCUAACACAUGCAAGUCGAACGGCAGCACAGUAAGAGCUUGCUCUUACGGGUGGCGAGUGGCGGACGGGUGAGGAAUACAUCGGAAUCUACUUUUUCGUGGGGGAUAACGUAGGGAAACUUACGCUAAUACCGCAUACGACCUACGGGUGAAAGCAGGGGAUCUUCGGACCUUGCGCGAUUGAAUGAGCCGAUGUCGGAUUAGCUAGUUGGCGGGGUAAAGGCCCACCAAGGCGACGAUCCGUAGCUGGUAUGAGAGGAUGAUCAGCCAGACUGGAACUGAGACACGGUCAAGACUCCUACGGGAGGCAGCAGUGGGGAAUAUUGGACAAUGGGCGCAAGCAUGAUCCAGCCAUACCGCGUGGGUGAAGAAGGCCUUCGGGUUGUAAAGCCAUUUUGUUGGGAAAGAAAAGCAGCAGGUUAAUACCCCGCUGUUCUGACGGUACCCAAAGAAUAAGCACCGGCUAACUUCGUG
This 492-nucleotide ribosomal RNA is filed under the name uncultured bacterium. RNAcentral describes it as "partial 16S ribosomal RNA". It matches the Rfam family "Bacterial small subunit ribosomal RNA", at positions 29 to 507 of the family's 1533-position model. The record is from RNAcentral.